Molecule: ribosomal RNA, 2893 nt
Filed under: Escherichia coli
Lineage: Bacteria; Pseudomonadati; Pseudomonadota; Gammaproteobacteria; Enterobacterales; Enterobacteriaceae
Description: bacterial LSU rRNA
Rfam family: Bacterial large subunit ribosomal RNA
Source: RNAcentral
ACUAAGCGUACACGGUGGAUGCCCUGGCAGUCAGAGGCGAUGAAGGACGUGCUAAUCUGCGAUAAGCGUCGGUAAGGUGAUAUGAACCGUUAUAACCGGCGAUUUCCGAAUGGGGAAACCCAGUGUGAUUCGUCACACUAUCAUUAACUGAAUCCAUAGGUUAAUGAGGCGAACCGGGGGAACUGAAACAUCUAAGUACCCCGAGGAAAAGAAAUCAACCGAGAUUCCCCCAGUAGCGGCGAGCGAACGGGGAGGAGCCCAGAGCCUGAAUCAGUGUGUGUGUUAGUGGAAGCGUCUGGAAAGGCGCGCGAUACAGGGUGACAGCCCCGUACACAAAAAUGCACAUGCUGUGAGCUCGAUGAGUAGGGCGGGACACGUGGUAUCCUGUCUGAAUAUGGGGGGACCAUCCUCCAAGGCUAAAUACUCCUGACUGACCGAUAGUGAACCAGUACCGUGAGGGAAAGGCGAAAAGAACCCCGGCGAGGGGAGUGAAAAAGAACCUGAAACCGUGUACGUACAAGCAGUGGGAGCACGCUUAGGCGUGUGACUGCGUACCUUUUGUAUAAUGGGUCAGCGACUUAUAUUCUGUAGCAAGGUUAACCGAAUAGGGGAGCCGAAGGGAAACCGAGUCUUAACUGGGCGUUAAGUUGCAGGGUAUAGACCCGAAACCCGGUGAUCUAGCCAUGGGCAGGUUGAAGGUUGGGUAACACUAACUGGAGGACCGAACCGACUAAUGUUGAAAAAUUAGCGGAUGACUUGUGGCUGGGGGUGAAAGGCCAAUCAAACCGGGAGAUAGCUGGUUCUCCCCGAAAGCUAUUUAGGUAGCGCCUCGUGAAUUCAUCUCCGGGGGUAGAGCACUGUUUCGGCAAGGGGGUCAUCCCGACUUACCAACCCGAUGCAAACUGCGAAUACCGGAGAAUGUUAUCACGGGAGACACACGGCGGGUGCUAACGUCCGUCGUGAAGAGGGAAACAACCCAGACCGCCAGCUAAGGUCCCAAAGUCAUGGUUAAGUGGGAAACGAUGUGGGAAGGCCCAGACAGCCAGGAUGUUGGCUUAGAAGCAGCCAUCAUUUAAAGAAAGCGUAAUAGCUCACUGGUCGAGUCGGCCUGCGCGGAAGAUGUAACGGGGCUAAACCAUGCACCGAAGCUGCGGCAGCGACGCUUAUGCGUUGUUGGGUAGGGGAGCGUUCUGUAAGCCUGCGAAGGUGUGCUGUGAGGCAUGCUGGAGGUAUCAGAAGUGCGAAUGCUGACAUAAGUAACGAUAAAGCGGGUGAAAAGCCCGCUCGCCGGAAGACCAAGGGUUCCUGUCCAACGUUAAUCGGGGCAGGGUGAGUCGACCCCUAAGGCGAGGCCGAAAGGCGUAGUCGAUGGGAAACAGGUUAAUAUUCCUGUACUUGGUGUUACUGCGAAGGGGGGACGGAGAAGGCUAUGUUGGCCGGGCGACGGUUGUCCCGGUUUAAGCGUGUAGGCUGGUUUUCCAGGCAAAUCCGGAAAACUAAGGCUGAGGCGUGAUGACGAGGCACUACGGUGCUGAAGCAACAAAUGCCCUGCUUCCAGGAAAAGCCUCUAAGCAUCAGGUAACAUCAAAUCGUACCCCAAACCGACACAGGUGGUCAGGUAGAGAAUACCAAGGCGCUUGAGAGAACUCGGGUGAAGGAACUAGGCAAAAUGGUGCCGUAACUUCGGGAGAAGGCACGCUGAUAUGUAGGUGAAGCGACUUGCUCGUGGAGCUGAAAUCAGUCGAAGAUACCAGCUGGCUGCAACUGUUUAUUAAAAACACAGCACUGUGCAAACACGAAAGUGGACGUAUACGGUGUGACGCCUGCCCGGUGCCGGAAGGUUAAUUGAUGGGGUCAGCGCAAGCGAAGCUCUUGAUCGAAGCCCCGGUAAACGGCGGCCGUAACUAUAACGGUCCUAAGGUAGCGAAAUUCCUUGUCGGGUAAGUUCCGACCUGCACGAAUGGCGUAAUGAUGGCCAGGCUGUCUCCACCCGAGACUCAGUGAAAUUGAACUCGCUGUGAAGAUGCAGUGUACCCGCGGCAAGACGGAAAGACCCCGUGAACCUUUACUAUAGCUUGACACUGAACAUUGAGCCUUGAUGUGUAGGAUAGGUGGGAGGCUUUGAAGUGUGGACGCCAGUCUGCAUGGAGCCGACCUUGAAAUACCACCCUUUAAUGUUUGAUGUUCUAACGUUGACCCGUGAUCCGGGUUGCGGACAGUGUCUGGUGGGUAGUUUGACUGGGGCGGUCUCCUCCUAAAGAGUAACGGAGGAGCACGAAGGUUGGCUAAUCCUGGUCGGACAUCAGGAGGUUAGUGCAAUGGCAUAAGCCAGCUUGACUGCGAGCGUGACGGCGCGAGCAGGUGCGAAAGCAGGUCAUAGUGAUCCGGUGGUUCUGAAUGGAAGGGCCAUCGCUCAACGGAUAAAAGGUACUCCGGGGAUAACAGGCUGAUACCGCCCAAGAGUUCAUAUCGACGGCGGUGUUUGGCACCUCGAUGUCGGCUCAUCACAUCCUGGGGCUGAAGUAGGUCCCAAGGGUAUGGCUGUUCGCCAUUUAAAGUGGUACGCGAGCUGGGUUUAGAACGUCGUGAGACAGUUCGGUCCCUAUCUGCCGUGGGCGCUGGAGAACUGAGGGGGGCUGCUCCUAGUACGAGAGGACCGGAGUGGACGCAUCACUGGUGUUCGGGUUGUCAUGCCAAUGGCACUGCCCGGUAGCUAAAUGCGGAAGAGAUAAGUGCUGAAAGCAUCUAAGCACGAAACUUGCCCCGAGAUGAGUUCUCCCUGACUCCUUGAGAGUCCUGAAGGAACGUUGAAGACGACGACGUUGAUAGGCCGGGUGUGUAAGCGCAGCGAUGCGUUGAGCUAACCGGUACUAAUGAACCGUGAGGCUUAACC